UCCAGCUCCAAUAGCGUAUAUUAAAGUUGUUGCGGUUAAAAAGCUCGUAGUUGGAUUUCUGCCGAGGACGACCGGUCCGCCCUCUGGGUGCGUAUCUGGCUCGGCCUGGGCAUCUUCUUGGAGAACGUAUCUGCACUUGACUGUGAGGUGCGGUAUCCAGGACUUUUACUUUGAGGAAAUUAGAGUGUUUCAAGCAGGCACACGCCUUGAAUACAUUAGCAUGGAAUAAUAAGAUAGGACCUCGGUUCUAUUUUGUUGGUUUCUAGAGCUGAGGUAAUGAUUAAUAGGGAUAGUUGGGGGCAUUCGUAUUUAACUGUCAGAGGUGAAAUUCUCGGAUU
Molecule: ribosomal RNA, 338 nt
Filed under: Karlodinium zhouanum
Lineage: Eukaryota; Dinophyceae; Gymnodiniales; Kareniaceae
Description: SSU rRNA
Rfam family: Eukaryotic small subunit ribosomal RNA
Source: RNAcentral